UACGUAGGGUGCAAGCGUUGUCCGGAAUUAUUGGGCGUAAAGAGCUCGUAGGCGGCUUGUUGCGUCGACCGUGAAAACCCGGGGCUCAACUUCGGGCUUGCGUUCGAUACGGGCAGGCUAGAGUUCGGUAGGGGAGACUGGAAUUCCUGGUGUAGCGGUGAAAUGCGCAGAUAUCAGGAGGAACACCGGUGGCGAAGGCGGGUCUCUGGGCCGAUACUGACGCUGAGGAGCGAAAGCGUGGGGAGCGAACAGG
RNAcentral lists this ribosomal RNA (253 nucleotides) under uncultured bacterium. RNAcentral describes it as "partial 16S ribosomal RNA". It matches the Rfam family "Bacterial small subunit ribosomal RNA", at positions 524 to 776 of the family's 1533-position model. The record is from RNAcentral.